CGAACUAACUAUUUCAUCACCCCUUAGAUUAAAUGUUUGAGAAUAUAAAACAAAAUACUUAGAAUUAUUAAAUAUUAUAUCCAGAAAUCAUAUAUACAGGCGCAAAAGUUGGAGACUACUAUGCCAUUCAUCUUCUAAUUGCUUCAAACGCAAGGAAGACCUAAUUCUUUCACCUUUCUCCUAUUCUAAAAGCAAACAUAGUUUCAAUUGAACAGUUUAGCGUGCAAUGGAUACUAAGAUGCUAAUUUGAGGGUAAAAUAUGGAAUGCCCAUAUUGUAAUCUGUGGUGCUUUAUUAACUACUGAUAUCUUUAACAGCAUAAAGCUAACAAUCCAGGGUCAAGGC
This 344-nucleotide long non-coding RNA is filed under the name Gossypium barbadense (sea-island cotton). Its description in RNAcentral is "long non-coding RNA (GBAR_LNC019108)". Lineage: Eukaryota; Viridiplantae; Streptophyta; Magnoliopsida; Malvales; Malvaceae. The record is from RNAcentral.